RNAcentral lists this ribosomal RNA (164 nucleotides) under Gnetum urens. RNAcentral describes it as "5.8S ribosomal RNA". It matches the Rfam family "5.8S ribosomal RNA". From Rfam's summary of the family: 5.8S ribosomal RNA (5.8S rRNA) is a component of the large subunit of the eukaryotic ribosome. It is transcribed by RNA polymerase I as part of the 45S precursor that also contains 18S and 28S rRNA. Functionally, it is thought that 5.8S rRNA may be involved in ribosome translocation. The record is from RNAcentral. Lineage: Eukaryota; Viridiplantae; Streptophyta; Gnetopsida; Gnetales; Gnetaceae.
ACUACGACUCUCGACAAUGGAUAUCUCGGCUCUCGCUUCGAUGAAGAACGUAGCGAAAUGCGAUACCUUGUGUGAAUUGCAGAAUCCCGUGAAUCAUCGAAUCUUUGAACGCAAGUUGCGCCCGAGGCCUAGGCUGAGGGCACGUCUGCCUGGGUGUUGUGAAA